This is a long non-coding RNA of Perca fluviatilis (European perch), 284 nucleotides long. RefSeq lists it as uncharacterized. The record is from RefSeq and is a predicted model, not a curated record. The transcript has 3 exons. NCBI's taxonomy places the organism in Eukaryota, Metazoa, Chordata, Actinopteri, Perciformes, Percidae.
CUUGGUUAGGAUGCCGGGCCUUGUGGGAGUCCGGACCAGGCCUCCCCUUUACAUGGCUCCAUCCUCCUCCUCCUCCUCCUCCUGCUGCAUCUUUCCUCUUGCUGACCUGUGGGCAGCACGGGUGUAGAGGCUGCCUGGGCUGAGGGCGAGAGGUGACCGACAGGUUUCUGUCUGUGGUAGCACAGUUGCUCUCCAGCAAAGGGUUAUUCUACCUCGUUACUAUAGCAGAUAAUGAUCCAGAGGAGAUUAUCCGUCAUGCUUGUCGACCAGAGCUGGAAAUGAGA